CAGCAGCCGCGGGAAUACAGAGGGUGCGAGCGUUAAUCGGAUUUACUGGGCGUAAAGCGUGCGUAGGCGGCUUUUUAAGUCGGAUGUGAAAUCCCUGAGCUUAACUUAGGAAUUGCAUUCGAUACUGGGAAGCUAGAGUAUUGGAGAGGAUGGUAGAAUUCCAGGUGUAGCGGUGAAAUGCGUAGAGAUCUGGAGGAAUACCGAUGGCGAAGGCAGCCAUCUGGCCUAAUACUGACGCUGAGGUACGAAAGCAUGGGGAGCAAACAGGAUUAGAUACCCCUGUAGUCCCUGUCUCUUAUAC
RNAcentral lists this ribosomal RNA (301 nucleotides) under uncultured bacterium. RNAcentral describes it as "partial 16S ribosomal RNA". It matches the Rfam family "Bacterial small subunit ribosomal RNA", at positions 509 to 807 of the family's 1533-position model. The record is from RNAcentral.